This 408-nucleotide unclassified non-coding RNA is filed under the name Zea mays. RNAcentral describes it as "misc RNA Zm00001eb340050". The record is from RNAcentral. Lineage: Eukaryota; Viridiplantae; Streptophyta; Magnoliopsida; Poales; Poaceae.
CGGCGGCUGGACGCAGGGCGAGCCAUGGAGAUGGGCGCCGAGAUCCAUGGAUGCAGGGAGGAGGGAGGAGCUCGCAGGCUAGCUGGGGAUGGAGGAGGAGAAAUCCACGCGCGCCAUAGAAGGGCUUCGACAGGGACAGGGCGCUGCUGGGAAAUGGAGGGAGAGAAGCAAGGGGGCAGCUAGGCUCUUGGCCGACCGGAGUUGGAGGAGGAAGCCGCGGCCUGAACGCCGGCGAGCCAGGCGCGGCCAUGGCUGGGGAAGAGGAACAGCAGGCGAUUUGGAGCGCGGCGUGCUUGAAGAUGGAGCAGAGGAAGCAGUGCAGAGAAGGAACGCGGGGCACAGGGAAGCGCGCGUCAUGGCUGGGAGGAUCUGGGGCGAGCUGCGCGCGUGCAGAAGGCAGGGAGAGCG